RNAcentral lists this long non-coding RNA (1186 nucleotides) under Felis catus (domestic cat). RNAcentral's name for it is "lncRNA (ENSFCAG00000050384.1)". The record is from RNAcentral. Lineage: Eukaryota; Metazoa; Chordata; Mammalia; Carnivora; Felidae.
AUGGAAAGAAGGGUAUUUACAACCGGCUUGACCGUCCGUCCGGUGGUCUUACCCACGGUCCUCAAAAGCAGCCACGAUAACAGACGGCCCUGGCCAGGGUACCGUGGUGGGGGCAGCCAAUCCUGGAAGAGGACUUCGACAAUUAGCAACGAGAACAUCAAAAAGUUUUAUUGCGGAGAGCGAGAGGCACCGCCCCUGCCGCCCCGGGAUUGGCGUGAGGAGCCUCUGACGACAUAUAUUAACCCGAGCAGCCCUAAAGAUGUAGCUGUACAUGGAGAUCUUGCUGGGAAAAUCCGCUUCCUCCCCUCACGGCGUCCAGCCCAGGAGAACCGCCGCCGCCGCCGCCACCCAGGAGCUCCCUCGGCCACUGCGCGGACCCCGCCGAGAACCCGAGCCGCCGCCUUCGCGCUCCGAGGCGCCCGCAGGGCCCCAGAUCCUUCCCCUGAAAGAAGGAGAGGAUCUGAGAAAAUGGAUGCACUGAGACCUCUCUGAAAACCCUCCGAGGGAGCCCGGGAGGAGUGAGGACACGUUACCCGCUGCUAAAAUCACAUUUCCAGGACCAAAAACAACAACAACCAAAAAUUUCAUUAAAACAAUAAGCGCCCAAGAACCCAGACCGGGCUGGUGGGGGGAGGGGAAGGGGCGGGAAGGGGAGGGUCGCACGGAGGUAGCUUCACAGUGAGCAGCCGACCCCGCCGCCUCCCUGCAGAGCCGGGCCGGCUCUUCCACCCGCGGCUCGGACUCGCCCUGGGAUUCCGAGUUAGCUUCGGUGCCGGGAUCGCGGCCGCGGUGGAGGCCGGCGACUCCGCGAAGCAGCCUCGCGGGAGCCCGGGCACCUUUGCAUGAGCACGAGAGGAUUCUGCCUCCCCGCAGCUGCCCGGGAAGCAGGAGCCGGCGCGCGGGCCGGGGAGCCAGGCGGGAGCCGGCGGCGGCCGCGGCCAGGGGCGCACGGUGCCGGGACCAGCUCGCCGCGCCCUAUGGGGAGCCGGCGGCCGCAGUGCUGCUGAGGCAGGCCCGGCGGGCCAGGCGGGGGAUCGGGGCCCGGGCUGCAGCAGCCCCCUCUGCGGCUGCCGGGCCGGCCCGGGCGCCCGAGGGCUGGGGGGCGGGGGGUGGGGGAGGCCGCCCAGCGCCGAAGCGGGGGCCCCGGCCGAGGGCGCGGCGGGGCUGCGCGCACGCUGGGGCGCGU